This 812-nucleotide ribosomal RNA is filed under the name uncultured Thorsellia sp. Its description in RNAcentral is "bacterial SSU rRNA". It matches the Rfam family "Bacterial small subunit ribosomal RNA", at positions 1 to 808 of the family's 1533-position model. The record is from RNAcentral. Lineage: Bacteria; Pseudomonadati; Pseudomonadota; Gammaproteobacteria; Enterobacterales; Thorselliaceae.
CGAUUAGAGUUUGAUCCUGGCUCAGAUUGAACGCUGGCGGCAGGCUUAACACAUGCAAGUCGAGCGGUAACAGGGGAGCUUGCUCCUGCUGACGAGCGGCGGACGGGUGAGUAAUGCCUGGGGAUCUGCCUUAGUGAGAGGGAUAACCACUGGAAACGGUGGCUAAUACCGCAUAAUGUCGCGAGACCAAAGUGGGGGACCUUCGGGCCUCACGCACUAGGAUGAACCCAGGUGAGAUUAGCUAGUUGGUGAGGUAAUGGCUCACCAAGGCGACGAUCUCUAGCUGGUCUGAGAGGAUGAUCAGCCACACCGGGACUGAGACACGGCCCAGACUCCUACGGGAGGCAGCAGUGGGGAAUAUUGGACAAUGGGGGGAACCCUGAUCCAGCCAUGCCGCGUGUGUGAAGAAGGCCUUCGGGUUGUAAAGCACUUUCAUUGGUGAGGAAGGAUAUAAAAUUAAUACUUUUAUAUAUUGACGUUAACCAAAGAAGAAGCACCAGCUAACUCCGUGCCAGCAGCCGCGGUAAUACGGAGGGUGCGAGCGUUAAUCGGAAUUACUGGGCGUAAAGGGCAUGCAGGCGGUUACAUAAGUCAGAUGUGAAAUCCCCGCGCUUAACGUGGGCAUUGCAUUUGAAACUAUGUAGCUAGAGUUCUGUAGAGGGGGGUAGAAUUCCAGGUGUAGCGGUGAAAUGCGUAGAGAUCUGGAGGAAUACCGAUUGCGAAGGCAGCCCCCUGGACAGUGACUGACGCUCAUAUGCGAAAGCGUGGGGAUCAAACGGGAUUAGAUACCCUGGUAGUCCACGCUGUCAACA